Molecule: ribosomal RNA, 519 nt
Filed under: Cranuca inversa
Lineage: Eukaryota; Metazoa; Arthropoda; Malacostraca; Decapoda; Ocypodidae
Description: partial 16S rRNA
Rfam family: Bacterial large subunit ribosomal RNA
Source: RNAcentral
GUCUGUUUGUAGAUAUAAAAAGUCUGGCCUGCCCACUGAUAGUUUUUAAAGGGCCGCGGUAAUCUGACCGUGCAAAGGUAGCAUAAUCGUUAGUUUUUUAAUUGAAAUCUUGUAUGAAUGGUUGAACAAAAGAAUAACUGUCUCUGUAUUUUUAUUUGAAUUUAACUUUUAAGUGAAAAGGCUUAAAUAUUUUAAAAAGACGAUAAGACCCUGUAAAGCUUAAUAUACCUAAGUGUUAGAUUAAGUUAAUAUAUAAAAAUUUAAGAUGAAAGGCUUAUUUUGUUGGGGCGACAAUGAUAAAAUGCUUGUUAACUGUUUAUGUUAAAAGACAAAAAUAAAUGAUUAAAAAAUAAAUGAUCCUUAAAUAAAGAUUAAGAGUUUAAGUUACUUCAGGGAUAACAGCGUUAUUUUUCUUGAGAGUUCAUAUCGAAAGAAAAGUUUGCGACCUCGAUGUUGAAUUAAAAUUUCUAUAUAAUUGCAGCAGUUAUAAUAGAGGGUCUGUUCGACCUUUAAAUUUUU